RNAcentral lists this long non-coding RNA (210 nucleotides) under Elaeis guineensis (African oil palm). RNAcentral describes it as "long non-coding RNA (EGUI_LNC005873)". Lineage: Eukaryota; Viridiplantae; Streptophyta; Magnoliopsida; Arecales; Arecaceae. The record is from RNAcentral.
AAUGCCAUCAAAUAUUAUAAUGACUUUGAUAUAUUAACUAACUAAAAUAUAGCUAUAAUACAGAGAGCAACAAUAAAUACAGAAACCAACAAGAAGAUCAUUUUCAGUUUUCUACAACAUCUGUACCUUUUCUUAACAACUGAAAUAUUCUGUUCACUUUUGGUAUAGUAUUUGUUCCUAAUCUAAAUAAACAAAUCAUAACAAACAAAU